CGUAAGCUUUUGUCAGGUGUUUCUCGAUGUUUGAGCGAAUCUUCUGAAAUUCGUCAGCUCUUGACAAUUUUCCCUCACCCUCGUUGAGUAAUUCGACUUCUCGCAACAUUUUGUAAUCUUGGCCAUGUGAAAUCAUGUGCUGACCAAAGACCACAAAAUAUGGUGCCAUGCCAACUGAUUGGUGUAUUGAUUUUCUCAAAGAACAGUUUAUGCUACUAAGGAACACAUCCCAUUCACGAUGGUCAGUACGAACGUACGCUCUGAGCGCGGCAUUAAUCGAUCGGUUAACCCUUUCCGCGGCAUUCGACUGUGGAGCAUACGCCCCUGUACAUAAGUGCUGAACACCGUACUUCAAAAGGAAUUUAGAAAAAUCACUACUUUUAAACUGCGUACCGUUUUCGAUCACUAGCACUUCCGGCACUCCAUAACAUGAAAAUAUCUCUUCCCUCAAUAUGUCAUUCACUAUCUGGGAAGAAAAUUUCUUGACCGCCUUUAAGAAGGUAAAUUUUGAGAAGUGAUCCAGGAUGAUAAAUAUUCCUAUGUUGCCCUUUCUGCUUCGAGGAAAGGGACCAAUGAAAUCGAUGUACAACCGUUGAAAGGGACGUUCGCUAACUACUCUAGCGCCCAUAGGAGGUUUGAGAGAGCGUGUGGGAUGUUUUCUGGUCUGGCAUACAUCACAUGCGGAAAUAUAAUCGCGGACGUCUAUAACCAUUUUUGGCCAGUAAAAUCGUUGCCUUAUUUGGUCGAGGCAUUUGGCAAUCCCACAAUGUGCAGAGGAAGGUUGGUCAUGCGCAGCUUUAAUUACGCCCUGUCUCAAGGCUUCGGGAACAAAUAAUUUCCACGACUCAUCGGCUUGGUC
Molecule: long non-coding RNA, 859 nt
Filed under: Drosophila guanche
Lineage: Eukaryota; Metazoa; Arthropoda; Insecta; Diptera; Drosophilidae
Source: RNAcentral